UACGGAGGGUGCAAGCGUUAUCCGGAUUUACUGGGGUUUAAAGGGAGCGUAGGUGGGUCGGUAAGUCAGUGGUGAAAUCUUCGAGCUUAACUCGGAAACUGCCAUUGAUACUAUCGAUCUUGAAUUAUCUGGAGGUAAGCGGAAUAUGUCAUGUAGCGGUGAAAUGCUUAGAUAUGACAUAGAACACCCAUUGCGAAGGCAGCUUACUACGGAUAUAUUGACACUGAGGCUCGAAAGCGUGGGGAUCAAACAGG
RNAcentral lists this ribosomal RNA (254 nucleotides) under uncultured bacterium. RNAcentral's name for it is "partial 16S ribosomal RNA". It matches the Rfam family "Bacterial small subunit ribosomal RNA", at positions 524 to 776 of the family's 1533-position model. The record is from RNAcentral.